UCCCGAGCGUUNUCCGGAUUUAUUGGGCGUAAAGCGAGCGCAGGCGGUUAGAUAAGUCUGAAGUUAAAGGCUGUGGCUUAACCAUAGUACGCUUUGGAAACUGUUUAACUUGAGUGCAGAAGGGGAGAGUGGAAUUCCAUGUGUAGCGGUGAAAUGCGUAGAUAUAUGGAGGAACACCGGUGGCGAAAGCGGCUCUCUGGUCUGUAACUGACGCUGAGGCUCGAAAGCGUGGGGAGCGAACAGGAUUAGAUACCCUGGUAGUCCACGCCGUAAACGAUGAGUGCUAGGUGUUAGGCCCUUUCCGGGGCUUAGUGCCGCAGCUAACGCAUUAAGCACUCCGCCUGGGGAGUACGACCGCAAGGUUGAAACUCAAAGGAAUUGACGGGGGCCCGCACAAGCGGUGGAGCAUGUGGUUUAAUUCGAAGCAACGCGAAGAACCUUACCAGGUCUUGACAUCCCGUUGCCCGCUCUAGAGAUAGAGUUUUACUUCGGUACAUCGGUGACAGGUGGUGCAUGGUUGUCGUCAGCUCGUGUCGUGAGAUGUUGGGUUAAGUCCCGCAACGAGCGCAACCCUUAUUGUUAGUUGCCAUCAUUCAGUUGGGCACUCUAGCGAGACUGCCGGUAAUAAACCGGAGGAAGGUGGGGAUGACGUCAAAUCAUCAUGCCCCUUAUGACCUGGGCUACACACGUGCUACAAUGGCUGGUACAACGAGUCGCAAGUCGGUGACGGCAAGCUAAUCUCUUAAAGCCAGUCUCAGUUCGGAUUGUAGGCUGCAACUCGCCUACAUGAAGUCGGAAUCGCUAGUAAUCGCGGAUCAGCACGCCGCGGUGAAUACGUUCCCGGGCCUUGUACACACCGCCCGUCACACCACGAGAGUUUGUAACACCCGAAGUCGGUGAG
Molecule: ribosomal RNA, 901 nt
Filed under: uncultured bacterium
Lineage: Bacteria
Description: bacterial SSU rRNA
Rfam family: Bacterial small subunit ribosomal RNA
Source: RNAcentral